GCGGGGGGUCAGUUUUAAUAUAUAUAGAGGCGCGCUAUACAUGCAGUCGAACGAACUUCCGUUAAUUGAUUAUGACGUGCUUGCACUGAAUGAGAUUUUAACACGAAGUGAGUGGCGGACGGGUGAGUAACACGUGGGUAACCUGCCCAGAAGCAGGGGAUAACACCUGGAAACAGAUGCUAAUACCGUAUAACAGAGAAAACCGCCUGGUUUUCUUUUAAAAGAUGGCUCUGCUAUCACUUCUGGAUGGACCCGCGGCGCAUUAGCUAGUUGGUGAGGUAACGGCUCACCAAGGCGAUGAUGCGUAGCCGACCUGAGAGGGUAAUCGGCCACAUUGGGACUGAGACACGGCCCAGACUCCUACGGGAGGCAGCAGUAGGGAAUCUUCCACAAUGGACGCAAGUCUGAUGGAGCAACGCCGCGUGAGUGAAGAAGGGUUUCGGCUCGUAAAGCUCUGUUGUUAAAGAAGAACGUGGGUGAGAGUAACUGUUCACCCAGUGACGGUAUUUAACCAGAAAGCCACGGCUAACUACGUGCCAGCAGCCGCGGUAAUACGUAGGUGGCAAGCGUUAUCCGGAUUUAUUGGGCGUAAAGCGAGCGCAGGCGGUCUUUUAAGUCUAAUGUGAAAGCCUUCGGCUCAACCGAAGAAGUGCAUUGGAAACUGGGAGACUUGAGUGCAGAAGAGGACAGUGGAACUCCAUGUGUAGCGGUGAAAUGCGUAGAUAUAUGGAAGAACACCAGUGGCGAAGGCGGCUGUCUGGUCUGUAACUGACGCUGAGGCUCGAAAGCAUGGGUAGCGAACAGGAUUAGAUACCCUGGUAGUCCAUGCCGUAAACGAUGAUUACUAAGUGUUGGAGGGUUUCCGCCCUUCAGUGCUGCAGCUAACGCAUUAAGUAAUCCGCCUGGGGAGUACGACCGCAAGGUUGAAACUCAAAAGAAUUGACGGGGGCCCGCACAAGCGGUGGAGCAUGUGGUUUAAUUCGAAGCUACGCGAAGAACCUUACCAGGUCUUGACAUCUUCUGCCAACCUAAGAGAUUAGGCGUUCCCUUCGGGGACAGAAUGACAGGUGGUGCAUGGUUGUCGUCAGCUCGUGUCGUGAGAUGUUGGGUUAAGUCCCGCAACGAGCGCAACCCUUAUUACUAGUUGCCAGCAUUCAGUUGGGCACUCUAGUGAGACGGCCGGUGACAAACCGGAAGAAGGUGGGGAACAACGUCAAAUCUUC
This 1223-nucleotide ribosomal RNA is filed under the name Pediococcus sp. Its description in RNAcentral is "bacterial SSU rRNA". It matches the Rfam family "Bacterial small subunit ribosomal RNA", at positions 1 to 1194 of the family's 1533-position model. The record is from RNAcentral. Lineage: Bacteria; Bacillati; Bacillota; Bacilli; Lactobacillales; Lactobacillaceae.